RNAcentral lists this non-coding RNA (24 nucleotides) under Arabidopsis thaliana (thale cress). The record is from RNAcentral. Lineage: Eukaryota; Viridiplantae; Streptophyta; Magnoliopsida; Brassicales; Brassicaceae.
AACUGUCACUGGUCUACACCACAA